RNAcentral lists this ribosomal RNA (464 nucleotides) under uncultured Anaerolineaceae bacterium. Its description in RNAcentral is "bacterial SSU rRNA". It matches the Rfam family "Bacterial small subunit ribosomal RNA", at positions 904 to 1382 of the family's 1533-position model. Lineage: Bacteria; Bacillati; Chloroflexota; Anaerolineae; Anaerolineales; Anaerolineaceae. The record is from RNAcentral.
UUAAGGAAUUGACGGGCCCGCACAAGCAGUGGAGCGUGUGGUUUAAUUCGAUGCUACACGAAGAACCUUACCAGGGUUUGACAUACAAGUAGUAGGGAAGGAAACUGGACCGACCCUUCGGGGAGCUUGUACAGGUGCUGCAUGGCUGUCGUCAGCUCGUGUCGUGAGAUGUUCGGUUAAGUCCGCUAACGAGCGCAACCCUCGCUGUGUGUUACAAGUGUCACACGGAACUGCCGGUCGUAAACCGGAGGAAGGUGGGGAUGACGUCAAGUCAGCAUGGCCUUUAUAUCCUGGGCUACACACGUACUACAAUGGCCGGUACAAAGGGCAGCCACUUAGCGAUAAGGAGCCAAUCCCGUAAAGCCGGUCUCAGUCCGGAUUGGAGUCUGCAACUCGACUCCAUGAAGUUGGAAUCGCUAGUAAUCGCAGAUCAGCACGCUGCGGUGAAUACGUUCCCGGGCCUU